RNAcentral lists this ribosomal RNA (404 nucleotides) under Actinomycetes bacterium. RNAcentral's name for it is "Actinobacteria bacterium partial 16S ribosomal RNA". It matches the Rfam family "Bacterial small subunit ribosomal RNA", at positions 355 to 776 of the family's 1533-position model. Lineage: Bacteria; Bacillati; Actinomycetota; Actinomycetes. The record is from RNAcentral.
UGGGGAAUAUUGGACAAUGGGCGCAAGCCUGAUCCAGCCAUGCCGCGUGAGUGAUGAAGGCCCUAGGGUUGUAAAGCUUUUUCACCGGUGAAGAUAAUGACGGUAACCGGAGAAGAAGCCCCGGCCAACUUCGUGCCAGCAGCCGCGGUAAUACGAAGGGGGCCGGCGUUGUUCGGAUUUACUGGGCGUAAAGCGCACGUAGGCGGACUAUUAAGUCAGGGGUGAAAUCCCGGGGCUCAACCCCGGAACUGCCUUUGAUACUGGUAGUCUUGAGUUCGGGAGGGGUGAGUGGAAUUCCGAGUGUAGGGGUGAAGUUCGUAGAUAUUCGGAGGAACACCAGUGGCGAAGGCGGCGCACUGGCUCGAUACUGACGCUGAGGUGCGAAAGCGUGGGGAGCAAACAGG